AGAGUUUGAUCCUGGCUCAGAGCGAACGCUGGCGGCAGGCUUAACACAUGCAAGUCGAACGCUCACCUUCGGGUGGGAGUGGCAGACGGGUGAGUAACACGUGGGAACGUACCCUUCGGUUCGGGACAACUCUGGGAAACUGGAGCUAAUACCGGAUACGCCCUUUUGGGGAAAGGUUUACUGCCGAAGGAUCGGCCCGCGUCUGAUUAGCUAGUUGGUGGGGUAACGGCCUACCAAGGCGACGAUCAGUAGCUGGUCUGAGAGGAUGAUCAGCCACACUGGGACUGAGACACGGCCCAGACUCCUACGGGAGGCAGCAGUGGGGAAUAUUGGACAAUGGGCGCAAGCCUGAUCCAGCCAUGCCGCGUGAGUGAUGAAGGCCUUAGGGUUGUAAAGCUCUUUUAUCCGGGACGAUAAUGACGGUACCGGAGGAAUAAGCCCCGGCUAACUUCGUGCCAGCAGCCGCGG
RNAcentral lists this ribosomal RNA (468 nucleotides) under Methylobacterium sp. 5BR20. RNAcentral describes it as "bacterial SSU rRNA". It matches the Rfam family "Bacterial small subunit ribosomal RNA", at positions 8 to 520 of the family's 1533-position model. The record is from RNAcentral. Lineage: Bacteria; Pseudomonadati; Pseudomonadota; Alphaproteobacteria; Hyphomicrobiales; Methylobacteriaceae.